Molecule: long non-coding RNA, 366 nt
Filed under: Lupinus angustifolius (narrow-leaved blue lupine)
Lineage: Eukaryota; Viridiplantae; Streptophyta; Magnoliopsida; Fabales; Fabaceae
Description: long non-coding RNA (LANG_LNC003338)
Source: RNAcentral
UUAACACUUUCUCUCUCCGCCAUGGCCUCUUUCCGUCUCCCACUCUUCACCGCCACCGUCCUCCUCUUCCUCUCCGCCACCGCCACCGCGCGACCGUGCCGUUCCUUCUUCAUGUCCUCUUACACCUUCCGUAACCCUUCCUCCAACACUUUCACCACCAUCACCGAGUUUCGUUCCUUCACCCCUCUCCACCGCAUCACCGCCGACAACGACAACGUCAACGACAAACUCUCCAUCCAAAUCAUCGAUAACGACUUCAUCGAUUCCCUCUUUCAACAACGCCACCACCACCAUCCCUUCCACAACAACAACAACCUCAAAUUUGACCGUAGCGCGUCACUCUCACGCUCUGAAUUAGGGUUCUCC